Molecule: ribosomal RNA, 440 nt
Filed under: uncultured bacterium
Lineage: Bacteria
Description: partial 16S ribosomal RNA
Rfam family: Bacterial small subunit ribosomal RNA
Source: RNAcentral
CCUACGGGAGGCAGCAGUAGGGAAUAUUGCUCAAUGGGGGAAACCCUGAAGCAGCAAAGCCGCGUGGAGGAUGAAGGUUUUCGGAUUGUGAACUCCUUUUGUUAGAGGAGAUAAUGACGGUAUCUAACGAAUAAGCACCGUCUAACUCCGUGCCAGCAGCCGCGGUAAUACGGAGGGUGCAGGCGUUACUCGGAAUCACUGGGCGUAAAGAGCGCGUAGGCGGGAUAGCAAGUCAGAUGUGAAAUCCUAUGGCUUAACCAUAGAACUGCAUUUGAAACUGUUAUUCUAGAGUAGGGGAGAGGUAGGUGGAAUUCUUGGUGUAGGGGUAAAAUCCGUAGAGAUCAAGAGGAAUACUCAUUGCGAAGGCGACCUGCUAGAACAUAACUGACGCUGAUGCGCGAAAGCGUGGGGAGCAAACAGGAUUAGAUACCCCUGUAGUC